CCUACGGGUGACAGCAGUGAGGAAUAUUGGUCAAUGGGCGCGAGCCUGAACCAGCCAAGUCGCGUGAGGGAAGACGGUCCUAUGGAUUGUAAACCUCUUUUGUCGGGGAGCAAAAGACGCCACGCGUGGCGUUCCGAGAGUACCCGAAGAAAAAGCAUCGGCUAACUCCGUGCCAGCAGCCGCGGUAAUACGGAGGAUGCGAGCGUUAUCCGGAUUUCUUGGGUUUAACGGGUGCGCAGGCGGAAGAUCAAGUCAGCGGGAAAAUUGAGAGGCUCAACCUUAUCGAGCCGUUGAAACUGGUUUUCUUGAGUGAGUGAGAAGUAUGCGGAAUGCGUGGUGUAGCGGUGAAAUGCAUAGAUAUCACGCAGAACUCCGAUUGCGAAGGCAGCAUACCGGCGCUCAACUGACGCUCAUGCACGAAAGUGUGGGUAUCGAACAGGAUUAGAUACCCCUGUAGUC
This 459-nucleotide ribosomal RNA is filed under the name uncultured bacterium. RNAcentral describes it as "partial 16S ribosomal RNA". It matches the Rfam family "Bacterial small subunit ribosomal RNA", at positions 338 to 795 of the family's 1533-position model. The record is from RNAcentral.